AUCUUCUCCCCCUCCCUCUGCGUGCUCGGAAACCUUGAGCUGCACCGGCCGGGGCAGUAGUGCUGGGCUCUUCCGAGGGGGCUGUUGCAGUUGCCUCGGUUGCAGUGAAUUAUUUGGGGCUCCGGGGAAGGAGAUGCAGCUCGCGGCGGCGGCUGUACCCUUUCGUGUAACCUUGCUGCUCCCCCCGCCGAGCCCCAUCUCGGCUCCUCGCACCCCCCCCCCCAGCCCACCCCCUUUCUUUUUGACAAUUAAAUGCCCGUCACAAUUGGGCAGGAGGAACCCGAGUGGUCUCUAGACCUGUAAGACACCCCCGUAAUUAGUGCGCUUUUGUAAAAAAAAACAAAAACAAAACAACAACAAACCUGCUCCUACUCCUACUGCCAACAUGUGACUGAAAUGUAACUUUUGUUCCGGAGGGGUGGUCUCCUUAGGAAAAAAAAAAAAAGUGCAUCUCCAACGGGAGCCGAAGAACUUUUUUUUUUUUUUUUUUCCCUUAAAGGACUCCCGGGGUCAGAUCAGACUGGAUUUUUUCCCCCCUCCUCUGAUUGUAAUUUCAAGCACUGUCGGAAAGACAGCCCUGGUGUCAGCUUUUCCUGGGCAUUUGCACAAUGAAUUUCGUUCUUUCUUUUUUAAACCAAGGUAAUUAAAGUUGCCGAGUGGUUAUUGUACUCCGAUGCAUAGGAGAGUUGAGUAAUCCCAAAGUAGAAAACUCCUGUGAUGCAUUAUCUGAGUGACCAGGCAAAGUGACCUUCCCUGUUUGACAGUGCGGGGAGGGUAUCUGAGAGUAGAAAUCUCCCGGCUUUCUGGUGGUGUUUUGCAGCAUUGUAAAUGCAGGAUGGUGGAUGUUUGCAAACACGGUGUUUGGUUCCAGUAUACGUGCAUGUGUAUGUAUCGAUAUCUGUAGAGCCGGUGGUGCUGUGGUUUGUUGCUUCUAAAAAGUUGUAAAGUUUGCCACCGUGAGGAGGCAAGAUGAUUUGUCCAUUUCCCCCAAUUAUUUUUCCCGUCGCCGCAUUUAUUGAACACUUUAUUUAUUUCACGAUUCCAUCCGUCCCCCAGGUGGAAGAGCCUUCUGCUUCUGCCGGAGGCUGAAGCCACCGAAGUUUGUUUGUUUUUGGCUUGGGCCGUUUAAUAUGUGCUCAUUGAGUGGACACUGCAGAAACAAUGAACAAAUAACCUGUUUUCCUCAUCUGUGGGGAAUUAGAGAAACCUUUCCUGUUUUAACAUGGCUUUUCCAUUAGGGUCUGUUUAAAGGAAACAGUAUUUUAUUAUAUUUGCUUGCUAGGUUUUCAUAAUCAUACUCAGAUUUUAGUGUUUCUUAUCAGGUGAGAUUUUCAUGGAUUUUAAGAUAGGGCUAAUGUGAACUUAAAAAGUGGGUUGGGUUUCUUUGUUUUUGCCUCACAGGAAUGCCCAGUGGAACUUUUGUGUUUGUGUAUACCUGGGGUUAUCCGUAUGUCUGUGGUGAAGGGGGUGUCCCAGUAAAUAAUUUAAGCUACUUGUAUACUUCAAAACUAGUUUCUUUUGCUGUAUAAAUUAGAUUCUACAGUGAGCACGGUAUGGAUUAUCUGUUUGGACGCUUCACAACACAAACAGAGGGAACUGCAUAAUAGGGAUUAAAUCAGUAAAUUGUAUUUAAUUCGAUGGCAGUAACUCUGGCAUCAGGAAAACCGGACCAGCUACGGGGUCCUCAUUUUCGGGUGACCGCAACAAAAAGCUAUCCUUUCUGUGACUUUUCUUGAUACUUCUUUUAAAGGGACUGCAUAUCCCCACCGUUCUUAUGGGCUGAUUUAUGUGCGUGCAUAAAUCAGAAAACUCCUACUGAGUGGCUGGUUCCGUUGUACUCCAGUGGGAAGAGUACAACAGCCCUUUCCUUGCUCAGACAUGCAGAACCAGUCCCAAACCCAGACAAAAUACCGUCUUAAAUGUGACAUAAAAAUUUCUUCCCUUAUUGCUUACCCUCAGUUUGUUUGUUUGCUUUUUUUUUUUUUUUAGGUGCCUCUUUUCGUGACUUUGUAUUUCCAUGUAAUUGAGCUAGAUUGAAUGUUCUCCACUAGUAAUGAAGUAUCACUUUUAUUUGGAUGGUUCUUCACGGAGCCAGAUUAUGACUGUUCUGUUUGCUGAGACCGUGCAUAUGUUUAGGUGCACAUAGGUGAGGUGUAUUUUUUCCAAGGAGUUUGCUUAAUUCACUGUGUUCCAAUAACAAGUGCUGCAGAUCAAGGCCUGGGGAUUAUUCCGGGUCAUCUGAAAAUGUUCUGGUGAUGUGUGCAGUGUUUCAUUUAGUCCUUGGGAUGUGGUACAGUGACUGCAUAAUCAAAAAUGUUUGCUGGUAACCCGCAAGCAAGUACCGGGAUUGCUUUUAGAGCCCAGUAAACAAUAAACUUUUCUGCAGAGCAGAGAAGGAAUGUCAGAAGCUGUCAAGGAUGACCUGAUGAAUCUGAUGGAUUGAAGACAUGUGACACGGAAGCGUGGCUCUAGGUGGAGAGAUUUCCCUUACUCGUCCACUCCACUCCUGAAACCUUCCUCCCUUGCUCCUCCUGUUCCUUACAAGCAGCUGGUCAGCAAGCGGUAAACUCAGCAGCUGGUGUGAUGGCACACAGAGGCAGCCACGGAGGGAAGUGCUUAGUUUACUUCUGAGUAGUGUCUGUUCUACUAGAAAAGACCAGUGUACCAUUUGGGUGCAAUUUCUAAGGUGAAAGUUUUUGAAUCAGUCAAUCAGCGACACCUUUGUAUGUAUCACUUGUGUGGCAGUGGGUGACGUUGGAUGCCCGAUUAAGCGCUUUUAUAUUUCUUUGGCGUUUUAUAGGCAUCUUUCCGUCACAUAGGGAGGUGACUUUCAGAUGCGCAUUGUACAGGAGAAGACAGGUUGACUAGCCCAAGGUCACCCAGACUGUCGCGGAGCACCCACCGUUUCUCUGCACCGAGCUGCCCCACGCGUGGAGUGACACUCUGGUCCAAGAGUUUAAAUGCUUCCCUUCCUGAUCAUUGGGAUUGUUCAAAUGUAAGGACGGGGCAACCAACUAUAUAAAAAGUCAAAUAACUUUUUUUCAGAGGAUUGUGUGGCUGACUGCGCCGGUCAUGGGAAGAAGGAAGGAAGAGGCUGUCUUUUCCAUCAUCAGCCUUCACCUUCAAAUCACCUGUUCAGUGUUAAGUUCAGCCAGCUUGCUGUGGAACGUGGCUAUGGCCCAGCAGACAUAGUCCUUCAUGUCUUGGUAGGCUGUUUUAGUCGUGAGGGCCAUCCAGGUUACCAAAACUAGUGGUAUAACUUCCUCUUCCCCUUUUCACUGCCCUCCCUACUUGUCUCUACUCUCCAAUAUGGUUGGCUUUCUUGGCAGAAAGAAAUCUUUUUUCUUUUUUUUUGCUACUAACUUGGAUGGAUGGAUGGAUGGAUGGAUGGAUGGAUAGAUAGAUAGAGUGAGUGAGUGAGUGAGUCCAGGUUUCCCCUACCGGACUCUGAGCUCCUUGGGUUUAGCGAUCAUUGUCUUUGUAUCCUGCUACCUAGCUUGGCACCUGGCAUAGACAUGUUUCUCAGUAAUGUUUGCUGAUUUGAAGUGAGGCAUGGGAGGAGGUCAUUGCCCUUUCUUCUGUUUGUCCCUGUGUACCAAAGGCUGACUUAACACCUGCAUCCAUUAGCUUGCGUCAAGUAUUUAAUAGAGACACACUGCUCUCUCAGGGAGGCCUACAACACUCUCUGGGUGUCGGUCCAAAAAUGAUUAUCAGUAGAAUUUUGGUAUAAUAAUACUAUGUUUAUCAUUUUGGUAAAGUUAAACAAAAACGUUUGUGUCUAAACAGACAAAGGAAUUGAGUAAAAGAUCAUAAAAGGGCCUGAAGAAUUACCUUAGAAUCACGUUAGGCUCAGAUUCGCAGGCUUCUAAGUUUCCCCCAGUCUCUCGGACAAUUGAAUCGGGGAACGUUCAGGCUUUCAGAGCUGGAAGACCUUAGAGAUCACUUGGGCCAGCCUCUUAUUUUCAUAGGGAGGGGCUCCAGAGAACGCAGUGGCUUGGCUUUAGCUAAUUGGUGACCGAGCCAGGUUGAGAGCAGCGCAGGCCGUGUUCUCAGGCCCCUGCCUUGCAUUUGCUGGGUUCAUGGUGCAUCCCUAUAAAAGGCCAAGGACAUUCGAUACAAUAGGCUGCACUCUCUCCGGCACUUCCUAGCUUGGUCCAUUUUAAUCCCAAGCCAGCUGGUAUGAGGGCACGGAGGUAUGUGCCAAGGAAGAUGUGUGUGGGGGGGAAGCCCUGGGCCCAGAGGGUGUAUUGUUAGACGUGAGAAGAGGAAGGAGUAGGAGUUGGGGAUCAGGGAAGAGGGACUUGACAGACUUGCAUUUGCACCACUGUUUGCAGCACCAACUUUUUUUUUUUUUUAAUUGUAAGACACGCACGAUGUUCCGUUUACUGUCUUACCCGUGUUUAAGCGUCCAGUUCAGUAGUGCUAAGUAUAUUCACAUGAUUGUGCAACAGAUCUCUGGAACUUUUUCGUCUUGCGGCUCGGAAACUCUGUACCCACUAAACACGAACUAAAGCCUGCAUCCCUCUCCCCUCCUCCCAACGCUUGGUAACCACCUUUCUGUUUUCUGUUUCUAUGAUUUCGACUACUUUAGUGCUCUGUGGAAGUGGAAUCCUAGACUGUCAUUUUGCUUAUCGUAAUGCCUUUGAGGCUCGUCCACGUCAUACCGUAGCGGGCAUGGGAUUUCCUUCUUGUUUUAAGGCUGCAUAAUAUUCCACUUUAUGUGUAUGCCACGUUUCCUUUACCUGCUCACCCGCUGAUGGAGAUUUCGGUUGCUUCUGUCUCCUGGCUGUUGUGCAUCAAGCUGCAAUGAACUUAGAUGUGCAGUUAUGUCUUCGAGAUCCUGCUUUUUAAAUUUUUUUUUUUAACAUUUAUUUAUUUUUGAGACAGAGAGAGACAGAGCACGAACAGGGGAGGGUCAGAGAGAGAGGGAGACACAGAAUCCAAAACAGGCUCCAGGCUCUGAGCAGUCAGCACAGAGCCCGACGUGGGGCUCGAACCCACGGACCGUGAGAUCGUGACCUGAACUGAAGUCGGACGCUCAACCGACUGAGCCACCCAGGCGCCCCCCGAGAUCCUGCUUUAAGCCCUUUGGAUGUAUGCCCAAAGAUGGGACGCAUGGAAUGCAGCAACACUUUUUUUUUUCUUUUUUCUUUUUUUUUUUUUUACAGUGUGUGAGAAGUCUGGUACUUCUGUGCUGGGCUGAGGGAACUGGGCCUGUUAUGAAAAGCACCCUUUUCUGAGGAAACCUUGGGUGGGCCAUAGGCUCUUUUAUCUAGGGGUGGCCAAACUUAUACCUCAGUUGAGGUGUAGUAAGCUUCCUGUUUCACACAGUAUGAGCUAAAAGCAUGGCAGUUGGUCCUAGAAAAGUAGCUUCCUUCCUUCACAUAGGUCAGUCAAGGGAAGAGGUACCCCUGAUGUGGCUACCAGAGAACCCAAAGAAAUUCUGUAAAUCUGACUUGAGCUGCGUGCACUCACGCCAAGGAAGGUAGAGGGGCAAGGAGGCACGGGGUUAUUGGGACGAACGGGAAGAGCCGUUUCAUUUUAUUACCAACUGUGAAAAGUUGCCCUUUCGUGUGGUUCUCCCAGCGCAGCGCAGUGUUAAAUGAAGCCCCCUAGGGUGUGGGGGUUUACAAAUGGCAUAUUUUUCUCUGUGACUGUGACUUUAGAAAAAGCGCUGGUGUUUGUUUUCAGGCAGAGUCUGGCCCUGCUGUAUUCGUUGUUAGAUGUGUGUCAGAAACCAAUCUCUGUGUGUAUUUGUUGCCGAGAAUGAAUGUGAGUACACUCAGGGUUCCCAGGCCAAAAGGGGCCCCGCUGAAAAACUAAUCCCUGCCACACCUAGUAUUUGGGGAGUGGAAGAGUAGGCUGAAUUAGCAAGAAGUUGGGAUUAUGGCCCAUUGAACAGAAAACACAUUCUUAUUUAUUUCUCAACAUACAGGAACCAGACUGAUAAAGCGUUGUUCACUGGGGCGUCUCAGGAUGAGCCCCAGCGAACAGGCAAAAAUGACGUGUGUUCCACAUCACCUGUUGGUUAGAAAUGAGUGCUACUGUGUGCUCGAAACUGUUCUUUCAGUGUCGAAAUGGUACCACAAAUAUAUCAUUUGCCUGAUAAGCCUUUCUUCUGAGGUAGUGAAAAUGUACAGUUUAUCUGGUCUUUGUCUAAAUGAGCUGGAAUUUUCAGACUGUGGGAGGAUGGUGGGGGUGUUGAGUGAGGAAGGCAUUAGCCCGAGUUUGGUAAGCGUGGACUCCCAGAUGAUCAUGGCUGCGUCUGGGUCCUGUGGACUAUGCUUAUGGAAAACUGGGGAACACUUGCAUUUUGGAGCUUUCCCAAUUCUGUGAUUAAAGGUGUCUGUCAGCUGUUUUAGUGGUCAUUGCUCCUACCUUUUCUCCCCUUCCUCCUCCUUCAUCACCACCACCACCACCACCACCACCAACGUCGUGUAUGGAAUACCCCUGUGUGCUGGUCUGUGUGCUAAGGGCUUUACCUACAUUAUUUUGCUUACUCUUCACAACUCUCUCGAGGAGAGAGAUUCUGAAAGAUUCUGAAGCCCGGAGUGUUUAAGCCAUGGAUUGGUCCAAGAGCUCACCUGCCAUAGGUGGUAAAGCUAGGGCCUAUAGUUCCAAAGCAUUUUCCAUGACUGUUCUUGGGUGCGGCCAUCUUUAUGAAGAGAAGUAGGAAAUCGAGAGUGACGGGGGAUGGUGGAGGCUCCCAUGAGCUGGGAUGAAGGGCAGGAAUGGGGCUGCAGAGAUGUUUAUGAGGCCCCAAGUUCCCUUCCCAUUCUGGGUUCCCCGAAGGUGGAUUUCUCCUCACUGUUCCUCUCACGGUGUGGAGAGCUAGAUGGCCACACUGUGCAAACCAUCUUCGAAUCAAUGUCCAGAUCUUCCAUUUUUAUUCCAAUCUCUGGUAUUCUCUAGCGAUGUUUUGUCUUUCGACGGGUUUCAUUUUGGGCCCUUUAUGUUGUCAGAAACCUUUCUUUUCCCUCUCUGCCUUUUUCUUCUUUCCCCUGGCACCUAAUUUCGCCUGAAUGUGGGCGACAGGCCGUGCGGUGUCCUCUCAUCCUGUCCAGCGUCUGGGUUGGAUGCCUUUGUCUGCGUUACUCUCUGGUCAGUCUCUUUUCCUUCCACAGCUUUUUUUUUUUUUCCCCUCCCUUGAAACUCUUUAUACUAUCGAUCAACGUAAAAUUUUUCUUUAACCCAUCCCUCAUGUACAUCCUCAAUACUGUAUGAUUUCUAGGAAUCUGUUUGAGAUCUUUUCGGAUAUUCCCUGAUUAUCGCCUACCACCAAAGGAAUCAUCUUUUUUUUCCCCCUCCCUCUUUCCUGAUAGCCUGACCACACUGGCCUGGUUUAUUUUACUUGAGUGAAGAGAGGAUUUUGGCCAUCUGACUUCACAACAUUUUGGAUUUGAAUGGCUCUAACAAAGCCUGUCUACAGAGCAGAUGUGGGGAAGGAAGCAGAGAGAGAGAUGUGUGGAGGUAAUAAGAAGGAAUCUAAGAGCGCCCAAGCCAAAUUUCUCAUGAAACAGAUGAGGAAACUGAGUCCGUUGACAUUUAUUUAUUAAUUUAUUAAUAUUUUAUUGAGACAGAGCACAAGCAGGGGAGAGGCAGAGAGAGAGGGAGACACAGAAUCCGAAGCAGGCUCCAGGCUCCGAGCUGUCAGCACAGAGCCUGACAUGGGGCUUGAACCCACCAACUGUGAGAUCAUGAUCUGAGCCAAAGUUGUACGGUUAACCGACUCAGCCACCCAGGCACCCCUGAGUACUUUGGCAUUUAAAUAGCAUGCCUGAGAUCACAUUGUGCAUUGUACCUGAGCCAGAGUCAGAAUCAGGUGUUCUGUCCUCGGGCCAUGUCCCUCUAACACUGGCUGGGGAAAAGUGAUACAGAGCAGACAAGAAUUCAGAAAGUGAAGCUUUAUCACAAGGACUCCUAUAGAGUUAAACCCAUUUGUAUGGCACCCCACAAUGACUGAUGAUAUUAAUGAUCAUAAUUAUGACUUCCAAGUUAAAGACAAGCUUUAAGUUAUGAGAUUUAGGAAGUGAGAAAAUGUAAUGCAUUUUGGAAAGCUAUCCAACAAAAAUGUUUGGCAUAAAAAUAAUGUGAAGUUUUAAAAGGCUACGCUUCAGUUGUCUGGAUGAAUGACUUAUGAAAAAUAUGUUAGUCCCCAGUGAAGACAGGAAGGAGCUAUCCAAUAAAUCUGUAUGCUCACCAGACCUGUGUACUCCUUGGGGGUAUUUUCCCUUUGUGUGUGGGAGUCAGACAUACGGAAAACGAUCUCAUUUCCUGAAUGACCUGAGAAGGACGCAUCACCCCGCCAGCACUAGCACUAAGGGUGAGCGUGCACAAUGAUGUAAGUGUCGCCACAGUGUAGUUCCAGUCACCUCUACUUCAGAUUUUGAUUCGUAUUUUAUUCUGUCUGGUGUUCUUUGGUUCUCAGCUAUAAAGUCGAUUUCCCUUAAGAGGAUUGUAAGUUGCUGGGAAGAGGGGGCCAGUCAUUGCCUUACCGCUGAGUCCUCCUCGGGGAAGACCACAGACACGGGAGUGGACCGACAGGAGUGUGAAUCCUGGUCCUUGAACUUGAAUUUAUUAAUCUUCAUCUUCAACCUGUGAACUCAUCUGAAGUGCUAAUAAAGAUACGUGUCUCUUGGGAUAUGUCAAUUUCAUAAUGCAGCAACUUUGUUAAAGAAAAAAAAAAGGUAGUUCUCUCUCCCUUUAUGUAUCCUCCACAAUAUCUAGAUCUGGAAGGAGCUAGAGAUUUUCUAGAGCGUGCCUACGUGAUACAGUUGGUGCAGCGGCCAGAGAUGUUGACGGUUUGCUCACGUGGCUGGUAGGUGGCACCUUCCAGAACCAAAGAUCUAGGUCUCCCCAGUUGGCCGACUCCCAGCCAGCGUCCUUGCCACUGUCCCACUGGUUUCUCCUAGGGCUGGGGUCACUCAGUCCUGGUUGAGCAAAGCUCAUAGUUUAACUUUAAUUGAAUGCAAGCCUUGACAAUAGGACAGAUGAGCCAGCUGCGGUUACAUGAUAAUAACCAAGGCCUUUGGCAUCUUCCAGUAAAGUUUUGAGGGAAUGGCUAGUACGGUUCUGAAUAAGUUUCAAAGAUAAAAAGAAAAGGAGAAAAAAACAACAACCCUAAGCCUGGAAGUACUGUGCAGUGACUCUAACUAGCAUUAUUACUCAGCACUCAAGUAUUUGAACCUACUCAGGGAUCCGCUGGUUCACACAGUUGCUUAUUAUUUGCGGCUGGGGCGAGACUUGAACGAGGGCAUCGGUUCUUUAGUCUGCUUUUGUUGAACAGGCAGUUCCACGUCUGUCUGACCACAGAGCAGACACUGUUUGCUGCGGGGUGGUGAAUUUCCAGUUUCAAGAGCCGGGAGUAUAUAUGGCUCUUGGUGGAAGUUUAUACAGAAGAGUCUGAGAAAGCCAAAUUUGUUACUUUGGGCCAUGAGGGAGCCUUUGUUUUUAGACGUUCAGGGACCGACGUAUCUGUUUUCAGCAGCUUUGUUCUCUUUGCCGUGGACUUGAAAUGCUUUCCUGAGUUUUCCUCUGCGUGUCCACGUUCAAUGACAAGAUGAAAUGAAUGACCCUUUUGGAGGCACAGUGGGGAGAAUGUUGGCUCCUUGUCUGCUGACCCCACGCGGCGGGCAUGGGUGCUUUCGGGCUAUUGGAAAAAGAGCAUAGGUUUGGAAAGAAACCGUUCCUCUGCACUCUUCCUUGGAAAACACAAGUGAAAGCUGGAUAUUUUCUUCUCAGCUGCCUUGUCCCCUCCCCAGUGGGUUAUGACGGGCCAUGUAACUUUAUCUUUCUGGAGACUUAUCUGUGUAACAGGCAGUAACCCCUGCUCCACUGACAUCCCCUAUAUGUGAGGAAGCAGUAACCAAAGAUGAGAUGCUGACUCUAAACUAUUUCCUGGAAGAAAGGAGCUGCAGAUACAAAUCAGGCUGGUAAUUAAAAAAAAAAAAAAAAAAAAUGAAGCCCCAAAGAACAGCCUGUUUGUCUCUGAAGUUACCCAUUUCUCUAACACCUUUCCUUGUCCCCUAGUGAAAGUGUGGGUCCGGGUGUGGCCCUGGUGACAGCGUUGGGAGAUGGGAAAGAAAGGAGAGGGCUCAGAUCUGCCCGCCUGGCCACUGGUGUGGCCAGAGCAGUGCUGGGCUCCCUGAUGGAGAAUCCAGGUCAAGGGACAAUUUAGAGUUUGUGUCAUCCAAAGCCUACUAAUUAAUACUCAGAUCAAUACAUCUGCACUGGGGUGGGCAAGAGGGAAUGUCACAGAGACUUGAUAGAAAGGGGGGUGGGACUUUGCUGAGCUCUUUUCUGGAUUGUUCUGAGGAGCUCAGCCAAGGGAAGGGGACUUUUCUCCACCUUAGUUCCUUCAUUAUUCACUGUUGCUUCAAGACCAUUUGUCUUUCCCACAGUGUCCUUGACCAUCGAAUCAGAGUCUCCUGCCAGAGGAGAACCACAUAAGAGAGUCUUCUGACUCACCAUAUGGUCUAGCUGUGUCUUUUCACGUAUAGGCAGACUUGUGAUCACAGGUGGGGCCCCCAAGGGGACAGAAGUGGAUUCUCUUUCCUCUGGGCCCGUGUGUGUCCUUGUGCCCAGCUUCCUGACACAGAGUUGGUACACCCUCGUUUUGGGAGAUGGAAAAUCGGAAGGAUUGGACCCCUGGUGCAUCUUGUAGUCGCUGUGUCCUCCUUUUGACCUGAGAUGUGGGAGGUUUCAGAUCUGUGUCAUGAGGUCACAUGACUGGUACUUUGCACUGUUGAGACCCAUGGCUCUCCUCACUCGUGGGUCUUGACAUUAAUGGCCAGUGAUGGGUGGGUACAGCAGGUCAGGAGUCCCUCUCACUUGGUGCCUUUGAUGUGGUCUGUGUUCGAAGUGAGGUGAACGAGGUGGGGAGAGCUGUCAUUUGGGACUGAAAUAUGAGUCACAUAGGAUCUUGGUCUGGGGGUGUCCUCUUCCCCCUGACCAGGAGGCCUGAAUGACCCAAGGUGGCUGACUACAUCCCAGAUUCCCUGGAAAACUGCUAGCUCUUUAUUUGACUUUGUGCCAUUUAGUCCUUCCCUUAGUCUGCUGACUUGAAUACUUUAGGAUGAGGUGGAAGGAGAGACCUUAUGAGUCGAAAAGGUAAGAGUUUUUACCCUCCCAGGGCACUUGGGUUGGGUGGCUCCAUUGGUUAAGUGUCUGACUUCGCCUCAGGUCAUGAUCUCACGGUUCAUGAGUUCGAGCCCCACAUCAGGCUCUCAGCUGUCAGCGCAUGGAACUCCGCUUGAGAUCCUCUGUCCUUCUCUCUGCCCUUCCCCUGCUUGCUCACUCUCUCUCUCUCUCUCUC
Molecule: long non-coding RNA, 11314 nt
Organism: Acinonyx jubatus (cheetah)
Lineage: Eukaryota; Metazoa; Chordata; Mammalia; Carnivora; Felidae
Exons: 2
Source: RefSeq, a predicted model, not a curated record